This 476-nucleotide ribosomal RNA is filed under the name uncultured bacterium. RNAcentral describes it as "bacterial SSU rRNA". It matches the Rfam family "Bacterial small subunit ribosomal RNA", at positions 1 to 522 of the family's 1533-position model. The record is from RNAcentral.
UGGGCCCGAGUUUGAUCAUGGCUCAGAGCGAACGCUGGCGGCAGGCUUAACACAUGCAAGUCGAGCGGGCGUAGCAAUACGUCAGCGGCAGACGGGUGAGUAACGCGUGGGAACGUACCUUUUGGUUCGGAACAACACAGGGAAACUUGUGCUAAUACCGGAUAAGCCCUUACGGGGAAAGAUUUAUCGCCGAAAGAUCGGCCCGCGUCUGAUUAGCUAGUUGGUGAGGUAACGGCUCACCAAGGCGACGAUCAGUAGCUGGUCUGAGAGGAUGAUCAGCCACAUUGGGACUGAGACACGGCCCAAACUCCUACGGGAGGCAGCAGUGGGGAAUAUUGGACAAUGGGCGCAAGCCUGAUCCAGCCAUGCCGCGUGAGUGAUGAAGGCCCUAGGGUUGUAAAGCUCUUUUGUGCGGGAAGAUAAUGACGGUACCGCAAGAAUAAGCCCCGGCUAACUUCGUGCCAGCAGCCGCGGUG